Molossus molossus (Pallas's mastiff bat) is the source of this 159-nucleotide small nuclear RNA. RefSeq annotates it as U1 spliceosomal RNA. The transcript has a single exon. The record is from RefSeq and is a predicted model, not a curated record. Lineage: Eukaryota; Metazoa; Chordata; Mammalia; Chiroptera; Molossidae.
AUACUCGCAUGGGAGAUACCAUGAUCAUGAAGGUGGUUUUCCCAGGGCGAGGCUUAUCCAUUGUAUUCAGGAUGUGCUGACCCCUGUGAUUUCUCAUAAUGUGAGAAACCCAACUGCAUAAUUUAUGGUAGUGGGGGACAGCAUUUACACUCUCCCCUG